UAGGGAAUCUUCGGCAAUGGGGGGAACCCUGACCGAGCAACGCCGCGUGAGUGAAGAAGGUUUUCGGAUCGUAAAGCUCUGUUGUUAAGGAAGAACGAGUGUGAGAAUGGAAAGUUCAUGCUGUGACGGUACUUAACCAGAAAGGGACGGCUAACUACGUGCCAGCAGCCGCGGUAAUACGUAGGUCCCGAGCGUUGUCCGGAUUUAUUGGGCGUAAAGCGAGCGCAGGCGGUUAGAAAAGUCUGAAGUGAAAGGCAGUGGCUCAACCAUUGUAGGCUUUGGAAACUGUUUAACUUGAGUGCAGAAGGGGAGGGUGGAAUUCCAUGUGUAGCGGUGAAAUGCGUAGAUAUAUGGAGGAACACCGGUGGCGAGAGCGGCUCUCUGGUCUGUAACUGACGCGGAGGCUCGAAAGCGUGGGGAGCGAACAGG
Molecule: ribosomal RNA, 429 nt
Filed under: Bacteroidota bacterium
Lineage: Bacteria; Pseudomonadati; Bacteroidota
Description: Bacteroidetes bacterium partial 16S ribosomal RNA
Rfam family: Bacterial small subunit ribosomal RNA
Source: RNAcentral